This 30-nucleotide non-coding RNA is filed under the name Rattus norvegicus (Norway rat). Lineage: Eukaryota; Metazoa; Chordata; Mammalia; Rodentia; Muridae. The record is from RNAcentral.
UAGUUUGCUUCAGAUAGGCAUAAUGAUGGU